Molecule: long non-coding RNA, 430 nt
Organism: Vitis riparia (riverbank grape)
Lineage: Eukaryota; Viridiplantae; Streptophyta; Magnoliopsida; Vitales; Vitaceae
Exons: 3
Source: RefSeq, a predicted model, not a curated record
AUAACUGUCGCGAAUAACAUAUGUCUGCAUCACUAGAGAAAUCUAGAACGAAGAAGCCUUAACCCUUCUUCAUAGAUGAACUCCACUGUCGAGAGGCCCUAAUUGACCUACCAUCGCCAAGAUUUUGGGAACUUCUUCAAAUAAUCAACACAGCCUUUGUGAUUUCGCACUAGAGAGAUAGAAGCCUCUAUAGAUAUCAACUAUCAGGUCUUUAUGGUUGCAAAUGAAAUCAAUAUGAUCUUCAAGGUGUCAAAAGAAGAAAAAUUGUCACGUUGAAGAAAGUGAUUCCAAAAAUCAUGAAGAUUACGUGAUUGAACUCAUUAGGAGGUUGAAUUAGGUUUUUGCAUAUUAUGGUUUAUUUUAAUGGUUUUUUUCCUUAGCUUUUGUUCUUAUAUUAAAAGAAUUGUAAAUUAUAGUCCAACAAUUUGUG